Molecule: ribosomal RNA, 709 nt
Filed under: Lasaeola tristis
Lineage: Eukaryota; Metazoa; Arthropoda; Arachnida; Araneae; Theridiidae
Description: partial 28S ribosomal RNA
Rfam family: Eukaryotic large subunit ribosomal RNA
Source: RNAcentral
RGUGGGAGGAUUCAGUCGAAUGGUAGGAGUGUGCGUGUCGAUACUUGUAAGGUUCCGCGACUGGUACCGCUUCGGCUGCACACUCUCUAGCUUGUUUGACGCAAUUCUUUCCCGCCCGAAGGACGCCGCAACCGGUUGGGAAACGGCCUGAGAACCGGCGUUGGUAGGUGGCCGGCGUCUGUCCUCGUGGCGGGCGUCGGUGACUUGGCCUGUCGGAAGUGGCUCGUAUCCCGACCGCUGUGUUACGAAGUCCCCCCACAUGGGCUUCACCGCCUCCUCUCCUGUAGAUACGGAUAGACGUGGCAGUGGUUCUCCGUACUGCGGGCGCACAGGCUUACCCUGUGGCCGCGCGGUAGAGAGGCCAUGAUGUCGCCGCGCGGGGUCCGUUGGAGUGCUGGCGGUUAGCGGCGAGUAGAUCGGUCACCCACCCGACCCGUCUUGAAACACGGACCAAGGAGUCUAACAUGUGUGCGAGUCAAUGGGACUCGAAAAAGCCCAGAGGCGUAAUGAAAGCAAAGGUCGGAUUUGUCGCCGACCGUGUUGGGAUCCUUCCGCCUUUGCGCGGAAGGCGCACCAACGACCCGUUCUAUCCGACUUGUCGGUUGGGCGGAGUUUGAGCAUACACGUUAGGACCCGAAAGAUGGUGAACUAUGCCCAGGCAGAACGAAGCCAGAGGAAACUCUGAUGGAGGUUCGCAGCGGUUCUGACG